Molecule: long non-coding RNA, 1469 nt
Organism: Pan troglodytes (chimpanzee)
Lineage: Eukaryota; Metazoa; Chordata; Mammalia; Primates; Hominidae
Exons: 2
Source: RefSeq, a predicted model, not a curated record
AGGAUUUUUGUUGAACUUUCAACUGUUGGUUGAAAUGGUUGCCGUGGAGAUGGUCUCAGCCUAGAGCGGCUGCUGUUCAGCUUUGGCCCCUCAAGGGAGAACACAUCUGAGAAUGAAGAAUGGUUGAGGCAUUUGUUCCUCUGGUUUUCUCUCUGCUCCAGUGCAGUAGGUUGGCCUCGCCCUUCUUCUGAAGCCCCCGUUUCCAUCGGGUGGCUGGUUUCAUGCCGCUGUGGCUCCUCACAGAUUCCCUCUCUCAGUUGCCAUAACUGCCACCCUCCUUGCUCCUAAAGGCACUGGGGCAGAAGUGGUUCCUCCGCUAUUACCAGCCCGGGGUUCUUUCAACCUGCCUACAUCUGGAAAAUACCUCCUUAUCAAACUCUUCAUCACCAGUGUCAGUUCAUGGUCAGUUUCUUUCCUGAGCCCUGACCCACACCCAGGGAAAGGCCAACCUUCUGUGGCCAAGAUGAAGCCUCUUCCACCGUCAGCUGGGCACUUCUAGGGGCUGUGAGCCCUGAAGAAUGGAGAGAUUCAGGCCAUGUGUGUGGCUCUACCUCCUGAGAAACAGGAGUUAUCAGGCCUGGGCUUCGCUCACAGCACCUGCCGGCUCCUGGGAAGAAGCCACAUCUGCCUCGAGCUGCCCCGACUGCCUUUGCUAUGAUACCUAUCCGUGGCUUGCUUGUGCCAACUCUGAAAACACAGGGCUGCCUGGGGGAGCUCUCGUGUGAGCAAGCAGCAGCUCGUGGGUAAGGAAAGCCCCUUCAUUUAUUAACAUUAAAGUGAUUGCAAACUCGUAGGUGAGAUACUUAUGCAUUGGGCUCUGUCUGGAUAAUUCACCUGUAUUAACUCAGCCGAUCCUCUUAACUCCAUAAGGAAGGAAUCCUUAUUGUCCCCAUCUUAAAGACCUCCGAAACGAAACCAGAGAUACUGAAUGAUUUGCCUGGGAUGACUCCGCUACCACUUGGCACAGCCACGGUGCAAACCCAGUUGGGCUGGCACUGAACACCCAGACUGUAGAUCCCUCCUGCCUGACUCAAGAACCUCUGUCUAUAUGGAAGCAAUCAACUUAAGGUCACAAGAGGCCCAUUUCAGAAUGGGUUCUGUCCCACACUCUGGAGGAAGGAACGCUGUACGAGGAGGCCAAGAAGAAUCUGAACAGACAGGCUUUACUGGAGUUCCCCUCUCGGCCCGUUAGUAUUAGACCAGAUCCUUUUGUCCAGUCACAUUUCUACGUGCUUGCCUAUCAAAGAAGUCUCUAUAAAAAGUCCAAGAGAACAGGGUUUGGGGAGCUUCCAGGAGGUAGGAAAGUGAACAAGAAUUCAUCCACAUGCCAGACAGCUGGUGCAUCCCAAAUCCAUGGAGACAGAAGCUCCUGCACUCAGACCCUUCCAGACCUCACCCUACGUGUUUCUUCAUCUGGCUGUUUAUUUGUAUCCUUUGAAAUAUCCUUUGUAAUAAACUGUUGAACAUAA